This is a non-coding RNA of Salmo salar (Atlantic salmon), 54 nucleotides long. The record is from Rfam. Lineage: Eukaryota; Metazoa; Chordata; Actinopteri; Salmoniformes; Salmonidae.
UGCAUUCACUACUGUAAGUCGCUCUGGAUAAAAGCGUCUGCUAAAUGACGUGAA